CCUACGGGUGGCAGCAGUGGGGGAUAUUGCACAAUGGGGGAAACCCUGAUGCAGCGACGCCGCGUGGGUGAAGAAGUAUUUCGGUAUGUAAAGCCCUAUCAGCAGGGAAGAAAGAAGACGGUACCUGACUAAGAAGCCCCGGCUAACUACGUGCCAGCAGCCGCGGUAAUACGUAGGGGGCGAGCGUUAUCCGGAUUCACUGGGUGUAAAGGGAGCGUGGACGGCCGUGCAAGCCAGGAGUGAAAGCCCGGGGCCCAACCCCGGGACUGCUCUUGGAACUGUGCGGCUGGAGUGCGGGAGGGGCAGGCGGAAUUCCUGGUGUAGCGGUGAAAUGCGUAGAUAUCAGGAGGAACACCGGCGGCGAAGGCGGCCUGCUGGACCGCGACUGACGUUGAGGCUCGAAAGCGUGGGGAGCGAACAGGAUUAGAUACCCCAGUAGUC
RNAcentral lists this ribosomal RNA (441 nucleotides) under uncultured bacterium. RNAcentral's name for it is "partial 16S ribosomal RNA". It matches the Rfam family "Bacterial small subunit ribosomal RNA", at positions 338 to 795 of the family's 1533-position model. The record is from RNAcentral.